Molecule: ribosomal RNA, 654 nt
Filed under: Sebacinales sp. B KN-2014
Lineage: Eukaryota; Fungi; Basidiomycota; Agaricomycetes; Sebacinales
Description: eukaryotic LSU rRNA
Rfam family: Eukaryotic large subunit ribosomal RNA
Source: RNAcentral
UUGACCUCAAAUCGGGUGGGACUACCCGCUGAACUUAAGCAUAUCAAUAAGCGGAGGAAAAGAAACUAACAAGGAUUCCCCUAGUAACGGCGAGUGAAGAGGGAAAAGCUCAAAUUUUGAAUCUGGUGUCUUUGGCGCCCGAGUUGUAAUCUAGAGAAGUGUUUUCCGCGUUGGACCGUUCACAAGUUUUCUGGAAUGAGGCUUCAUAGAGGGUGAGAAUCCCGUAUCUGGAACGGACUACCAAUGCUCUGUGAUACACUCUCAACGAGUCGAGUUGUUUGGGAAUGCAGCUCAAAAUGGGUGGUAAAUUCCAUCUAAAGCUAAAUAUUGGCGAGAGACCGAUAGCGAACAAGUACCGUGAGGGAAAGAUGAAAAGCACUUUGGAAAGAGAGUGAAACAGUACGUGAAAUUGUUGAAAGGGAAGCGUUUGAAGUCAGUCAUAUCUGUCGGGAUUCAGCUUGGCUUUUGCCUUGUGUACUUUCCGUCCGAUGGGUCAGCAUCAAUUCAGACCGAGGGAAAAAGGCGUUUGGAAUGUGGCUGUCUUCGGGCAGUGUUAUAGCCUCGCGUUGUAUGUCUCGGUUGGGAUUGAGGAACGCAGCGCGCCACUUAAUUGGCCGGGGGUUAAGUCCUCUCGUAUCGCGCUUAGGAUGCUGG